This 300-nucleotide long non-coding RNA is filed under the name Aedes aegypti (yellow fever mosquito). Its description in RNAcentral is "lncRNA AAEL022905". The record is from RNAcentral. Lineage: Eukaryota; Metazoa; Arthropoda; Insecta; Diptera; Culicidae.
GUAGGGAUUGAGAGGGGUACUAUAGAAGAUAUCAAAUAAGCAGGAGGGCAUAUAGUUCCAGUAACAAUGAAAACCUAAGCAAACGGGAAAAGGCGAAUGACACGUCAGUCUUGUAAAGUGUUUCGAGCGAUGAAGUUGCGAUGGAAUUGCUCCUGUUGCAAUUCGGCUGAUUGAGCCAUUAGUUUUGAAUGUGCCGGUUCCUCCUUCCGGACACUACAAUGGCACAGUUGUUUUGUUUGGCAUUGCCGUUGAUGUAAACCAAGACGAUAGAGGUUGAUAUUGGAAUCAUUUGUGUUGGUA